RNAcentral lists this unclassified non-coding RNA (304 nucleotides) under Hevea brasiliensis (rubber tree). The record is from RNAcentral. Lineage: Eukaryota; Viridiplantae; Streptophyta; Magnoliopsida; Malpighiales; Euphorbiaceae.
AUGAACUAUUUACUAAACGACUACCAGAAAGAGAACGAGGCAUUCCUCCUAUAUCAUCAGAUGAGGCAAAACCGUGAGGCAGGUCCCUUGGGGGCAUUGAGAACCCAGGUGGAGCCGAAACUUUUGGUCUGGUGAUUUGAUAGGGAGCCUUGUUCACAUACUGAUCCUUGUUUUCUCCGAAAUCCUGAAGGAUGGACGAAUUCUUUGAUAUCUGACCAAUAUUUCUAAAAGACGACUCCAAAUCACCUCCUUGCCUGGAAAAGUCAUCUUGCUUCACAAAAGAGAACCCUAAUUGGUCGCUGUG